AGCCACCUCCCUGAGGAUCCCUCGUUCCCCUGCCGACCCCCGUCCGACGCUGUAACGUCCCCCAGCCUCCCCAAAGACAAGCCGCGUUACAACAGCCAGUACAUAUCAGCUGUCUGAUAUCCAGGAAGACACUAUUUCCACGCCAAGGAAGACAGACGAGACAAAUAUGUAUUUAUUUUCUCGCGUUGCCAGCAGCAACUCUCAUCUCACAUGGACACUGAAAAGACCUGGGACUGUUUUAUAAAAAGAAAAAGCCACUUUUGAGCAUAGCUUUUAUAUUGUUUAAAAAAAAGAAGAAAGUUAAUUUAAAUAUAGUUAUAUUUUUCUUUUCUCCAAAAGUACUGGUGUGUGCAGUAGGUUUUUUUCUGUAGUAUAUUGGUUAUUUUGUAAAUAAUUAUUUUAAUAGUUUCCUGUGAAUUUAUGAACGGUUGGUUUCUUCCUCUUGUCUUGUUGACCACUUUUACUACAGACUGCAACUUCUGAUUCACCUGUUGAUUGAUGAUAAACCCUGGGAUGAAAGGCUAGUUCUGAAUCACCUGUUGAUUGAUGAUAUACCCUGGGAUGAAAGGAUAGUUCUGAAUCACCUGUUGAUUGAUGUUAUACCCUGGGAUGAAAGGCUAGUUCUGAUUCACCUGUUAUACCCUGGGAUGAAAGGCUAGUUCUGAUUCACCUGUUAUACCCUGGGAUGAAAGGCGAGUUCUGAUUCACCUGGUGAUUGAUGUUAUACCCUGGGAUGAAAGGAUAGUUCUGAAUCACCUGUUGAUUGAUGUUAUACCCUGGGAUGAAAGGCUAGUUCUGAUUCACCUGUUGAUUGAUGUUAUACCCUGGGAUGAAAGGCUAGUUCUGAUUCACCUGUUGAUUGAUGAUAUACCCUGGGAUGAAAGGCUAGUUCUAAUUCACCUGUUGAUUGAUGAUAUACCCUGGGAUGAAAGGCUAGUUCUGAUUCACCUGUUGAUAUACCCUGGGAUGAAAGGCUAGUUCUGAUUCACCUGGUGAUUGAUGUUAUACCCUGGGAUGAAAGGCUAGUUCUGAUUCACCUGUUGAUUGAUGUUAUACCCUGGGUGAAAGGCUAGUUCUGAAUCAGGCAGGAUACUAUUCAAAGGCAACAUGUUUAUUUUUUCAAAAGGCAGCAUUCUGGUACGACUCUUUCACAGUGUCUUCACAUAAUAUCUGUUCUGUGGUCAGAUUCCUCCAUCUUGUUUUACUGUGGUGGUGUUGUUGUUGUUGUUGUCACUUCCUUAGUACCUCCUGUAGCUGGUCAGGUCUGACUAAGGGUGUAUCCCAAAUAGCAACCUAUUCAUUAUGUAGGUGAUUACUGUUGACCAGAGACCUAUGGCCAAAAGCUCUGGUCAAAACUAGUGCACUAUAUAGGGAAUAAGGUGGUAUUUGUGAUGCGCACCCUGACUCCAGGUCAGUUUCCUGACAGGUCAGAGCCAGUGGGUCUGUGGAUCUGUCCUCUCAGCUGUGUGACUCGGGGCUGUUGUGCUGUAGAACGGGACGAGGACAACGAUACACACUGAGAGGCUACUUUCACCUACAGAGUUUCAAAUGCUUUAAUGUUUUAAAAAAGAUGGCAUAAAGGAAAAACACCUAAAAUGUACAUUGUCUGUCUGUAAAUAUUUUCACCAGUGGUGCUCUUUGGUUGUAGUAUUGUGUAGGAGGAAGCUGAGGAAGACUGUGGUAACGUUGUACAUAUAGGUAUUAACCAGCAGGGAAGCAGCGGGGAAUCACCCUUCUCAAACAUACAACAUGACUUUCCACUAGUCGAAGCUGGAGCACGAACGUCUCAUCACCUGUCAUCUCUCUUCAUCCUAACAAGUUGAAACGUUUUAAUAAAGAUGGAUUGCUUUGUAUCCAGAAGGAGGCUGUUGGUUUUCACUGGGAUCCUGAGGAGGGUGAAGGUCAGUGUACAUGUCUUACUGAGGUGUGGGGAACACUGGGUCUGUAGUCUGUGUUGAGGUGUGGGGAACACUGGGUCUGUAGUCUGUGUUGAGGUGUGGGGAACACUGGGUCUGUAGUCUGUUGAGGUGUGGGGAUCACUGGGUCUGUAGUCUGUGUUGAGGUGUGGGGAACACUGGGUCUGUAGUCUGUCUUACUGUGUUGAGGUGUGGGGAACACUGGGUCUGUAGUCUGUCAUACUGUGUUGAGGUGUGGGGAACACUGGGUCUGUAGUCUGUGUUGAGGUGUGGGGAACACUGGGUCUGUCUUACUGUGUUGAGGUGUGGGGAACACUGGGUCUGUAGUCUGUGUUGAGGUGUGGGGAACACUGGGUCUGUAGUCUGUGUUGAGGUGUGGGGAACACUGGGUCUGUAGUCUGUUGAGGUGUGGGGAUCACUGGGUCUGUAGUCUGUGUUGAGGUGUGGGGAACACUGGGUCUGUAGUCUGUCUUACUGUGUUGAGGUGUGGGGAACACUGGGUCUGUAGUCUGUCUUACUGUGUUGAGGUGUGGGGAACACUGGGUCUGUAGUCUGUGUUGAGGUGUGGGGAACACUGGGUCUGUCUUACUGUGUUGAGGUGUGGGGAACACUGGGUCUGUCUUACUGUGUUGAGGUGUGGGGAACACUGGGUCUGUCUUACUGUGUUGAGGUGAGGGGAACACUGGG
Molecule: long non-coding RNA, 2603 nt
Filed under: Salmo salar (Atlantic salmon)
Lineage: Eukaryota; Metazoa; Chordata; Actinopteri; Salmoniformes; Salmonidae
Description: lncRNA (ENSSSAG00000116988.1)
Source: RNAcentral